CACCAGUUAUGGGCAAAGUAUAAGCACUUAUACCGUGAAACUGCGAAUGGCUCAUUAAAUCAGUUAUCGUUUAUUUGAUAGUACCUUACUACAUGGAUAACCGUGGUAAUUCUAGAGCUAAUACAUGCUAAAAACCUCGACUUCGGAAGGGGUGUAUUUAUUAGAUAAAAAACCAAUGCCCUCCGGGGCUCCUUGGUGAUUCAUAAUAACUUAACGAAUCGCAUGGCCUUGCGCCGGCGAUGGUUCAUUCAAAUUUCUGCCCUAUCAACUUUCGAUGGUAGGAUAGUGGCCUACCAUGGUAUCAACGGGUAACGGGGAAUUAGGUAUGUUCAUUAUCCAUCUUACUCCACUAUAUAUAAAUGCUAACAUAAUUAUUUUAGGGUUCGAUUCCGGAGAGGGAGCCUGAGAAACGGCUACCACAUCCAAGGAAGGCAGCAGGCGCGCAAAUUACCCAAUCCCGAUUCGGGGAGGUAGUGACAAUAAAUACUGAUACAGGGCUCUUUUGGGUCUUGUAAUUGGAAUGAGUACAAUUUAAAUCUCUUAACGAGGAACAACUGGAGGGCAAGUCUGGUGAACUUUGCAACAGUUUCUUAAAAAUCUGCUGUGCGCCAGAGAUAGUAGGGCUUUUUCUCUCUCUAAUUGAGGGGGGGAGGAGGUUAUGCCUACUAGUCGAGUAUCCAUAACAGUGAUGGGUGGAUACCGGCGAGGUGACCUGGUACGGGGAAGCCUAAGGGCCUAAACAGUCUAUGGUAAUCCCGUGGCGAGCCGCUUUUUUAAUAAAAGUAGCCGUCGUAACGCGCGGAAAGGCACCGGUUAUCAUUCUUUAUAAUGGUAGCUCAAGGGACGUGCUGUCCCAUCCGAAAGGAUGCCUCAAACUAGAGCACCCAUCGUGUAAAGGUUUGAGGGGGUUUUGUUGCUAAAACCUGGAUUAUAUUCUUAAAUGAAUAUAAUAAUUAAAACGGCCAGCAGCCGCGGUAAUUCCAGCUCCAGUAGCG
This 995-nucleotide ribosomal RNA is filed under the name Helicoma khunkornense. Its description in RNAcentral is "Tubeufia khunkornensis partial 18S ribosomal RNA". It matches the Rfam family "Eukaryotic small subunit ribosomal RNA", at positions 58 to 599 of the family's 1831-position model. Lineage: Eukaryota; Fungi; Ascomycota; Dothideomycetes; Tubeufiales; Tubeufiaceae. The record is from RNAcentral.